RNAcentral lists this ribosomal RNA (420 nucleotides) under Fusobacteriota bacterium. RNAcentral's name for it is "Fusobacteria bacterium partial 16S ribosomal RNA". It matches the Rfam family "Bacterial small subunit ribosomal RNA", at positions 355 to 776 of the family's 1533-position model. The record is from RNAcentral. Lineage: Bacteria; Fusobacteriati; Fusobacteriota.
UGGGGGAUAUUGCACAAUUGGCGAAAGCCUGAUGCAGCGACGCCGCGUGGGGGAUGAAGGCCUUCGGGUUGUAAACUUCUUUUUCUCUGAACAAGGUAUGCCUUUGGUGUGUGUAGAGUGUAGGGGUUGAUUAGCGCCGGCUAACUACGUGCCAGCAGCCGCGGUAAUACGUAGGUCGCUAGCGUUGUCCGGAAUUAUUGGGGGUAAAGGGCUUGUAGGUGGCUGGUUGCGUCUGUCGUGAAAGCUCAUGGUUUAACUGUGGGUUUGCGGUGGAUACGGGCUGGCUUGAGUGCAGUAGGGGAGGCUGGAAUUCCUGGUGUAGCGGUGGAAUGCGCAGAUAUCAGGAGGAAUACCGGUGGCGAAGGCGGUUCUCUGGGCUGUUACUGACGCUGAGGAGCGAAAGCGUGGGGAGCGAACAGG